GCCUUCGUGGUAUAGUGGGUAACACGCUCGACGCGUCUUCGAGAGGUCCAUGGUUCGAAUCCCGGCGAGGGCA
This 73-nucleotide transfer RNA is filed under the name Stegodyphus mimosarum. It matches the Rfam family "tRNA". From Rfam's summary of the family: Transfer RNA (tRNA) molecules are approximately 80 nucleotides in length. Their secondary structure includes four short double-helical elements and three loops (D, anti-codon, and T loops). Lineage: Eukaryota; Metazoa; Arthropoda; Arachnida; Araneae; Eresidae. The record is from Rfam by way of RNAcentral.